Molecule: non-coding RNA, 23 nt
Filed under: Arabidopsis thaliana (thale cress)
Lineage: Eukaryota; Viridiplantae; Streptophyta; Magnoliopsida; Brassicales; Brassicaceae
Source: RNAcentral
AAACUAUGAAUUUGGGCCUGAUU